RNAcentral lists this ribosomal RNA (423 nucleotides) under uncultured bacterium. RNAcentral describes it as "bacterial SSU rRNA". It matches the Rfam family "Bacterial small subunit ribosomal RNA", at positions 361 to 776 of the family's 1533-position model. The record is from RNAcentral.
AUAUUGGACAAUGGGCGCAAGCCUGAUCCAGCCAUGCCGCGUGAGUGAAGAAGGCCUUCGGGUUGUAAAGCUCUUUUGUCCGGAAAGAAAAGCAUUCGGUUAAUAACCGGGUGUCAUGACGGUACCGGCAGAAUAAGCACCGGCUAACUUCGUGCCAGCAGCCGCGGUAAUACGAAGGGUGCAAGCGUUACUCGGAAUUACUGGGCGUAAAGCGUGCGUAGGUGGUUUGUUAAGUCUGAUGUGAAAGCCCUGGGCUCAACCUGGGAACUGCAUUGGAAACUGGCUUACUAGAGUGCGGUAGAGGGGUGUGGAAUUCCCGGUGUAGCAGUGAAAUGCGUAGAUAUCGGGAGGAACAUCUGUGGCGAAGGCGACACCCUGGACCAGCACUGACACUGAGGCACGAAAGCGUGGGGAGCAAACAGG